UCUCGCGAAAUCUCACUCGGGACGAGACUGCUUUGUUUUCCUGUCAGAGUUUCAGAAAUCGUGAAAUUUUAGUCAAUAUCACCACGAAAAGAGAAAACACGUGAACAACAAGCAUAAUAGCCCAUGGCGUCGGCUCCUUCGGUUUCCCCGGGACCCUCAGGAGCAGGAACCCCAGACAGCACCAAAAGAAAAAGGAAGGGACCAUCAG
Long non-coding RNA from Mizuhopecten yessoensis (Yesso scallop), 208 nucleotides. RefSeq lists it as uncharacterized. Lineage: Eukaryota; Metazoa; Mollusca; Bivalvia; Pectinida; Pectinidae. The record is from RefSeq and is a predicted model, not a curated record. The transcript is spliced from 2 exons.